GGGGGCCUAAUACAUGCAAGUCGAGCGGACAGAAACGCGGGAGCUUGCUCCCGGAUGUUAGCGGCGGACGGGUGAGUAACACGUGGGUAACCUGCCUGUAAGACUGGGAUAACUCCGGGAAACCGGAGCUAAUACCGGAUAGUUCCUUGAACCGCAUGGUUCAAGGAUGAAAGACGGUUUCGGCUGUCACUUACAGAUGGACCCGCGGCGCAUUAGCUAGUUGGUGGGGUAAUGGCUCACCAAGGCGACGAUGCGUAGCCGACCUGAGAGGGUGAUCGGCCACACUGGGACUGAGACACGGCCCAGACUCCUACGGGAGGCAGCAGUAGGGAAUCUUCCGCAAUGGACGAAAGUCUGACGGAGCAACGCCGCGUGAGUGAUGAAGGUUUUCGGAUCGUAAAGCUCUGUUGUUAGGGAAGAACAAGUGCGAGAGUAACUGCUCGCACCUUGACGGUACCUAACCAGAAAGCCACGGCUAACUACGUGCCAGCAGCCGCGGUAAUACGUAGGUGGCAAGCGUUGUCCGGAAUUAUUGGGCGUAAAGGGCUCGCAGGCGGUUUCUUAAGUCUGAUGUGAAAGCCCCCGGCUCAACCGGGGAGGGUCAUUGGAAACUGGGAAACUUGAGUGCAGAAGAGGAGAGUGGAAUUCCACGUGUAGCGGUGAAAUGCGUAGAGAUGUGGAGGAACACCAGUGGCGAAGGCGACUCUCUGGUCUGUAACUGACGCUGAGGAGCGAAAGCGUGGGGAGCGAACAGGAUUAGAUACCCUGGUAGUCCACGCCGUAAACGAUGAGUGCUAAGUGUUAGGGGGUUUCCGCCCCUUAGUGCUGCAGCUAACGCAUUAAGCACUCCGCCUGGGGAGUACGGUCGCAAGACUGAAACUCAAAGGAAUUGACGGGGGCCCGCACAAGCGGUGGAGCAUGUGGUUUAAUUCGAAGCAACGCGAAGAACCUUACCAGGUCUUGACAUCCUCUGACAACCCUAGAGAUAGGGCUUUCCCUUCGGGGACAGAGUGACAGGUGGUGCAUGGUUGUCGUCAGCUC
Molecule: ribosomal RNA, 1041 nt
Filed under: Bacillus pumilus
Lineage: Bacteria; Bacillati; Bacillota; Bacilli; Caryophanales; Bacillaceae
Description: bacterial SSU rRNA
Rfam family: Bacterial small subunit ribosomal RNA
Source: RNAcentral